Astyanax mexicanus (Mexican tetra) is the source of this 489-nucleotide long non-coding RNA. RefSeq lists it as uncharacterized. Lineage: Eukaryota; Metazoa; Chordata; Actinopteri; Characiformes; Acestrorhamphidae. The transcript has 3 exons. The record is from RefSeq and is a predicted model, not a curated record.
GGGGCUUUAAAGCAGGAUUUUGCUUGUUUUACUCUUAAUAAUAUGGAAAAACAGCCUCUAACAGGCUUUAUGAACAGUUGUAGAGGUUAAAAAUGUGUGUAAAGUGUCCUAAAGUGGCAUAAAAUACCCAAUUUCAGAGUUUGAAAGUGUUAAUUCUCCCUGAAGCCGGUUAAACUUUGUGUAUUGGUGAAGAGAAGCUCAGGCUGUUUUAUUUGGUGGGAAAAGCGAACGAACUUCCCAAGCUGAAACUACACUUCCCAGAGUUCUGUGCGAGGGACGACUGCGGGGCGAGCACGCGGAGAGACCGACAGACAGACGCAGGUAUUUGGACCCACAAUGCACUGUGAUGGCUGGUUUGAAGAUUCAGUUUUGACUUCUUCAGGAAGUCCUGGGAAUGACAAUGGCGGCGCCUUCACAGAGCUCCAUUGAGACAUGUUAUUAAGUGAGGAAAUAGUCCAGUAGGUGACAGAAUAACUAUGAGUAAGUGCA